RNAcentral lists this ribosomal RNA (484 nucleotides) under uncultured bacterium. RNAcentral's name for it is "partial 16S ribosomal RNA". It matches the Rfam family "Bacterial small subunit ribosomal RNA", at positions 30 to 507 of the family's 1533-position model. The record is from RNAcentral.
AUUGAACGCUGGCGGAAUGCUUUACACAUGCAAGUCGAACGGCAGCACGGGGGCAGCCCUGGUGGCGAGUGGCGAACGGGUGAGUAAUACAUCGGUAAGUGCCCGGUCGUGGGGGAUAACGUAGCGAAAGUUACGCUAAUACCGCAUACGAUCUGAUGAUGAAAGCGGGGGACCUUCGGGCCUCGCGCGAUCGGAGCGGCCGAUGUCAGAUUAGGUAGUUGGUGGGGUAAAGGCCUACCAAGCCGACGAUCUGUAGCUGGUCUGAGAGGACGACCAGCCACACUGGGACUGAGACACGGCCCAGACUCCUACGGGAGGCAGCAGUGGGGAAUUUUGGACAAUGGGCGCAAGCCUGAUCCAGCCAUGCCGCGUGCAGGACGAAGGCCUUCGGGUUGUAAACUGCUUUUGUACGGAACGAAAAGGCUCUGGCUAAUAGCUGGGGCUCAUGACGGUACCGUAAGAAUAAGCACCGGCUAACUACGUG